RNAcentral lists this ribosomal RNA (497 nucleotides) under uncultured bacterium. Its description in RNAcentral is "partial 16S ribosomal RNA". It matches the Rfam family "Bacterial small subunit ribosomal RNA", at positions 28 to 507 of the family's 1533-position model. The record is from RNAcentral.
GAUGAACGCUGGCGGCGUGCCUAAUACAUGCAAGUCGAGCGAACGGACGAGAAGCUUGCUUCUCUGAUGUUAGCGGCGGACGGGUGAGUAAAACGUGGAUAACCUACCUAUAAGACUGGGAUAACUUCGGGAAACCGGAGCUAAUACCGGAUAAUAUUAUGAACCGCAUGGUUCAAAAGUGAAAGACGGUCUUGCUGUCACUUAUAGAUGGAUCCGCGCUGCAUUAGCUAGUUGGUAAGGUAACGGCUUACCAAGGCAACGAUGCAUAGCCGACCUGAGAGGGUGAUCGGCCACACUGGAACUGAGACACGGUCCAGACUCCUACGGGAGGCAGCAGUAGGGAAUCUUCCGCAAUGGGCGAAAGCCUGACGGAGCAACGCCGCGUGAGUGAUGAAGGUCUUCGGAUCGUAAAACUCUGUUAUUAGGGAAGAACAUAUGUGUAAGUAACUGUGCACAUCUUGACGGUACCUAAUCAGAAAGCCACGGCUAACUACGUG